UCUUCGGGGAAGGUGAAAUUCCUUACCGGCGGUAUAGUCCGCGACCCGUAUUCUUUAAGAAUAUGGCUGAUUUGGUGAAAUUCCAAAACCGACAGUAAAGUCUGGAUGGGAGAAGAA
This 117-nucleotide non-coding RNA is filed under the name human gut metagenome. Its description in RNAcentral is "FMN riboswitch (RFN element)". It matches the Rfam family "FMN riboswitch aptamer (RFN element)". Rfam says of the family: The RFN element is a highly conserved domain that is found frequently in the 5'-untranslated regions of prokaryotic mRNAs that encode for flavin mononucleotide (FMN) biosynthesis and transport proteins. This element is a metabolite-dependent riboswitch that directly binds FMN in the absence of proteins. In Bacillus subtilis, the riboswitch most likely controls gene expression by causing premature transcription termination within the 5' untranslated region of the ribDEAHT operon and precluding access to the ribosome-binding site of ypaA mRNA. The record is from RNAcentral.